RNAcentral lists this long non-coding RNA (206 nucleotides) under Carica papaya (papaya). RNAcentral's name for it is "long non-coding RNA (CPAP_LNC002199)". Lineage: Eukaryota; Viridiplantae; Streptophyta; Magnoliopsida; Brassicales; Caricaceae. The record is from RNAcentral.
AAUAUUCUGUAGAAAAUUGUUGAAUAGAUUUUGGUUUCAAUUGUGUGGAAGAAACUGAAAAAGUUAUACUCUACAAAAUCGCUGAUAAACUACCUCUAUCUAAAGAAAAUGUUGUACAGUAUGAAAAUGAGUGAAUGUAUGUCCAUUAAACGACAUCUUAAUGAGUUAAUUCUUUAAUUAUAGACUUGAAUAACAUAGAUAUUAAG